AGGAACAAAAGCUUACCCAAGCUUCUCCCUCUUCAAGCUUCUCCCUUUCAAGCUUCUUAAGCCGAGAGAAUCCGAAGAAGGUCCUGAAGAAGUCUCAACCCGAGGUUCAGAAGGAGCAAGAAGGUUGAUUCACUUUCCAUCCUACCCUACUUCUACCUCACCUACAAACCUACAAACCUUGUAACUUCAUUGUAGUAGAUCUUGAGAAGCUCAUGUGUUGAGCAACCUUUGUAAGUCCUACCCGGAAUUACAUCUCCAAAACCUUUGUACAAAUCUUACAAAUUUUAUAAGAUUUUGAAGUACAAUUGUUGUAGUCUUGUUCAGACUUGACUUUCCUGCCAAUUUCUUGCAAACAACGUGGGAUGGACAGGACAACAGGUACUAGAGAUACUCUAAGAGAGCCCAGUAGGCCUUCGACUAGGAGAUAGAGUUUGAUCUGCAUUAGUGUAGUCCGGUGUCACCUCAUCCAUGCAGUGUAUUUUGGUAGGACCACUAGGCUUCAUUGUAUUUUAUAUUUUGUAUAAGACAUUAACUUUUGCCAUGUGAAUUACAAACUCAUGUAAUUAUUUGUAAAUUAUGUAAUUAAUGUGAUUUGCAUAUUUUAUUUAUGAAAUUUGAGUAUGGAUCUAUUUAUGUAUGAAA
Molecule: long non-coding RNA, 642 nt
Organism: Hevea brasiliensis (rubber tree)
Lineage: Eukaryota; Viridiplantae; Streptophyta; Magnoliopsida; Malpighiales; Euphorbiaceae
Exons: 3
Source: RefSeq, a predicted model, not a curated record